UACGGGGGGAGCAAGCGUUGUUCGGAUUUACUGGGCGUAAAGGGCGCGUAGGCGGCGCAACAAGUCACUUGUGAAAUCUCCGGGCUUAACCCGGAGCGGCCAAGUGAUACUGUCGUGCUAGAGUGCGGAAGGGGCUACUGGAAUUCUCGGUGUAGCGGUGAAAUGCGUAGAUAUCUGGAGGAACACCGGUGGCGAAGGCGGCAUCCUGGACCGGCAUUGACGGCCUGAGGCGCGAAAGCCAGGGGAGCAAACGGG
This 255-nucleotide ribosomal RNA is filed under the name uncultured bacterium. RNAcentral's name for it is "partial 16S ribosomal RNA". It matches the Rfam family "Bacterial small subunit ribosomal RNA", at positions 524 to 776 of the family's 1533-position model. The record is from RNAcentral.